This 118-nucleotide ribosomal RNA is filed under the name Octodon degus (degu). Lineage: Eukaryota; Metazoa; Chordata; Mammalia; Rodentia; Octodontidae. The record is from RNAcentral.
GUCUACCGCCAUACCACCCUGAACGUGACUGAUCUUGUCUGAUCUUGGAAGCCAAGCAGGGUUGGGCCUGGUUAGUACUUGGAUAGGAGUUUUUGGUACUAUAACAGUAUUGUAGACU